This 513-nucleotide ribosomal RNA is filed under the name uncultured bacterium. Its description in RNAcentral is "bacterial SSU rRNA". It matches the Rfam family "Bacterial small subunit ribosomal RNA", at positions 28 to 589 of the family's 1533-position model. The record is from RNAcentral.
UGCGAACGCUGGCGGCAGGCCUAACACAUGCAAGUCGAACGGACCCUUCGGGGUUAGUGGCGGACGGGUGAGUAACACGUGGGAACGUGCCUUUAGGUUCGGAAUAGCUCCUGGAAACGGGUGGUAAUGCCGAAUGUGCCCUUCGGGGAAAGAUUUAUUGCCUUUAGAGCGGCCCGCGUCUGAUUAGCUUGUUGGUGGGGUAAUGGCCCACCAAGGCUACGAUCAGUAGCUGGUCUGAGAGGAUGACCAGCCACAUUGGGACUGAGACACGGCCCAAACUCCUACGGGAGGCAGCAGUGGGGAAUCUUGCGCAAUGGGCGAAAGCCUGACGCAGCCAUGCCGCGUGUAUGAUGAAGGUCUUAGGAUUGUAAAAUACUUUCACCGGUGAAGAUAAUGACUGUAGCCGGAGAAGAAGCCCCGGCUAACUUCGUGCCAGCAGCCGCGGUAAUACGAAGGGGGCUGGCGUUGCUCGGAAUUACUGGGCGUAAGGGAGCGUAGGCGGACAUUUAAGUC